AUAUUUGUUCUUCACAGUCACUUUGUUUAACUGUCGGUAAUCGAUGCAUAGUCUCAAAGUCCCAUCCUUCUUUUUCACAAACAGCACUGGAGCUCCCCACGGUGACACACUGGGGCAUAUGAACCCCUUGUCUAGUAAUUCUUGUAGCUGGAUUUUUAACUCUUUCAAUUCAGUAGGUGCCAUCUUAUAUGGAGCAAUUGAAAUAGGAGCUGUACCCGGCAUAAUCUCAAUAGCAAACUCAACUUCCCUUUCUGCUGGAAAACUAGGCAAUUCCUCAGGAAAUACCUCAGAGAAAUCCCUUACUGUGGGUAUGUCAGACAAGUCAAGUUUACCCUGCCUAGUGUCAACCACGUGUGCCAGAUAGGCUUCACACCCUUUUCUCAACCAUCUCCUUGCAACUGUAGCUGAGAUGACAUUGAACAAGAAAUCUGUCCUUUCACCCACAACUGUUAUUUCUUCGUUCUCAGCAGUUUUCAGAAAGAUUCUCUUCAAUUUAUAAUCUACUAUUGCCUGAUGAUGGGAUAACCAGUCCAUUCCGAAAAUCACAUCAAACUCAUGGAAAGGCAGUUCAAUUAAGUCUGCUGAGAACUCUUUCCCUUGAAUCUUCAAUGGACAGCCCUUAUACACCUUGUUUACUACCACACUGUAGCCUAGUGGAUUUGUGACCAGGAUGUCUUAGUCACUUUCCUCUACUGGUAUUCCCUUUUCUACGGGCAGCUUGAUACAAAUAUAUGAAUGAGUAGAUCCAGGAUCCACUAAUGCAU
Molecule: unclassified non-coding RNA, 764 nt
Filed under: Hevea brasiliensis (rubber tree)
Lineage: Eukaryota; Viridiplantae; Streptophyta; Magnoliopsida; Malpighiales; Euphorbiaceae
Source: RNAcentral